This 217-nucleotide ribosomal RNA is filed under the name Uvulifer denticulatus. RNAcentral's name for it is "partial large subunit ribosomal RNA". It matches the Rfam family "Eukaryotic large subunit ribosomal RNA", at positions 1 to 210 of the family's 3401-position model. Lineage: Eukaryota; Metazoa; Platyhelminthes; Trematoda; Diplostomida; Diplostomidae. The record is from RNAcentral.
CUGACCUCGGAUCAGACGUGAAUACCCGCUGAACUUAAGCAUAUCACUAAGCGGAGGAAAAGAAACUAACCAGGAUUCCCCUAGUAACUGCGAGUGAAGGGGGAUUAGCCCAGCACCGAAGCCUGCGGCCGUUUGGCUGUUAGGCAAUGUGGUGUUCAGGUUUACUCUUGGCAUAACUGCUCCAUCCUAAGUCCAGCACUGAGUAUGGCAUCUGGAU